GAUGAAGAACGUAGCGAAAUGCGAUACGUAAUGUGAAUUGCAGAAUUCAGUGAAUCAUCGAAUCUUUGAACGCAUAUUGCGCUCUCUGGUAUUCCGGAGAGCAUGCUUGUUUGAGUAUCAGUAAACACCUCAACUUCCAUAUCUUUUUUGAAAUGGGAGUUGGACUUGAGUGAUCCCAACGCUUUUCCUCACCGAAAAGUGGCGGGUUACUUGAAAUGCAGGUGCAGCUGGACUUUUCUCUGAGCUAUAAGCAUAUCUAUUUAGUCUGCCUAAAAAACAGAUUAUUACCUUUGCUGCAGCUAACAUAAAGGAGAUUAGUUCUUGUGCUGACUGAUGCAGGAUUCACAAAGACGGCUUCGGCCGACUUUGUAAACUCGAUCUCAAAUCAAGUAAGACUACCCGCUGAACUUACGCAUAUCAAUAAGCGGAGGA
This 432-nucleotide unclassified non-coding RNA is filed under the name soil metagenome. RNAcentral describes it as "partial contains 5.8S ribosomal RNA, internal transcribed spacer 2, and large subunit ribosomal RNA". The stretch from base 1 to 120 matches the Rfam family "5.8S ribosomal RNA", at positions 35 to 154 of the family's 154-position model. The record is from RNAcentral.